Callithrix jacchus (white-tufted-ear marmoset) is the source of this 1865-nucleotide non-coding RNA. Lineage: Eukaryota; Metazoa; Chordata; Mammalia; Primates; Cebidae. The record is from RefSeq and is a predicted model, not a curated record.
AGGGUCACAGCUAUAAGGAAUUGGCCUUGAGUCUUAGAUGAAACUUUGAAUAUUGGACAUUUGAGUUGAUGCUGGAACAAGGUAAGAGUUUUGAAGACUAUGGGAUGCACUAACUAUACUCAACACUAAAAGGACUAAGACACUGGCUCUUCAAGGGGGAGAAAGAUUAUCCUUGCUAUCACCAGCGUUCCAGGAUGAAGAAAUCCGGUAAUACAUUCAGGCUACUGGAAUGGCCUCCAGUACAUCAGUGAAUGCCAGUGGAAUGCAACUUCUUUUGCUUUAGAAGAUAAGCUUUUAGCAAUGUCAAGUUUCCAGGUACAACUGAGAGAUAUUUAACACAUUAUUAUUUCCACCAAGAUGGGGAAAAUUUCCUAGAGCUCAUUUCUUUUGACAGCAGAGAAGUAUCCAAGUUCUUCUAGAAAAUAAACGAAGUUUUCCUCAAGUUCUGUAUUAUAUGAGACUGCUGUUUCCAAAAAUUAAAUUCCCACAACAACCUAGAAAGUUUAGAGAUCUCUAUUUGAUUUUUUCAUCUUGCUAAAUAUUCUUCAAAUCAAAUAUCAGUUGUCCCUGUCACUCAGAAUGAAGAAAAAUGGUUUUAAUGAGGACCUGGAGAAGUAAGCUGACUCCUGCCUUUCCAGACUCCAGAGCUAAAACAAAUACAUUUCUGUUGUUUAUAAGCUACCCAGAUUAUGGGGCCCAGGGAAGGCAAGGUUACGUUUAGUUUUUUACAUACUUUUUACUUUUAGCUUUUUAAUAUGUGUUUGUGUAUAUGUAUCUGUGAGAUAGAAAAAAAUUGUCAUUAUUCAUCAUAGAGUUAAAAUAGAUUAAGAAUUUAAACUUUUCUACAAAAAUUUAAUUCAAGUUUUAGUGAGAAAGUAAAGUAAUAAAUGUAUAUAAAACAACUCUUCCGAGAGGACAUCUGUCCUGGCAGGUGAGACACUGAUGGCUAUGUGCUGCACUGAGAAGGCAAGUGUAACUGGCAUACUCAGUAGUAUCUUCAUAUGCUUCUUUUGGAAAAAGGUCAUCAAACCGAAGUAUGGCUUACUGACUAAGGCCGUUGCUUGCGAUCCUGCCUCAUUUAUCUUCUUUAUGUUGUUGCUCUUCCAGGUAACCCUCUCCUUUUUAUUACUAGGUUUUUAUUUUCCAUCUCUGUAUUCCUUAGUAGAAGAGAAAGCAGAAAUGAGCUGGAAUCCAAUCUUUAUAGACUUUUCUACUGAAAAUAUGUAAGUGUCCUCCAAUACUAUGUGUUAUAUAAAAAAUCACUAACUAUAAAAUAAUUGUCAUGAAAACCCAACCUUCCUAUUGAGUGAUAGUUUUAACAAAGCAUCAAAAACAAAUUUAUUUCCAAUAAAAUGCUUGAUCUUUAUGCAUGCAUGCAUGUCAACUACUGAAUCUCCAAUCAGUGACCAUGAAUAAUACUUUUGUUUUUUGGCCUUGAACGUAUUGCAUAUGUUCUAGCCACUGACUCUUCCCGGUGGAAAUACUGAUUUUUCUCAUGAAAAACAAACAGCUCUUCAGUGAGGAAAUGUUAUGUGCCUCAUGAAGAAAUACUUUGGUCUGAAUGUUUGUGACCCCACCAAAUUUAUGGGUUCAAAUCCUAACCCCCAAGGUGAUGAUAAAAGGAGAUGGAGAUUUGGGGGAGGUGAUUUGGUAAUGGGAAUGGAACCCUCAUGAAAGGAAUUAAUAUCCUUAUGAAUGAGGGAUCAGAGAACUAACUUGUCCCUUUCACUAGACAAGCACACAGCAAGAAAACACCUUCUAGGAAUCAUGAAAUGGAUCCUCACUAGAUACUUCAUUGGCAGAUGUCUUGAUCUUGGACUUCUCAAGCUCCAGAACUAUAAAAAAUAAAUUUCUGUUGUUUAUAA